GACGAACGCUGGCGGCGUGCUUAACACAUGCAAGUCGAACGCAGUGGCGAACGGGUGAGUAAUACUUGAGCAACCUGCCCUCCUUUUCGGGAUAAGCCUUGGAAACGGGGUCUAAUACCGAAUAAAGGGGGAUGGGCUUGCGGCCUAUCAGCGUGUUGGUGGGGUUAUGGCCUACCAAGGCGGGGACGGGUAGCCGGCCUGAGAGGGUGACCGGCAACAUUGGGACUGGGGAACGGGCCAGACUCCUACGGGAGGCAGCAGUGGGGGAUAUUGCACAAUGGGCGAAAGGCUGAAGCAGCAACGCCGCGUGAGUGAAGAAGGGUUUCGGGUCGUAAAGCUCUGUUGUUAAGGGAGGAGGACUUAACCAGAAAGGGACGGCUAACUACGUGCCAGCAGCCGCGGUAAUUC
This 408-nucleotide ribosomal RNA is filed under the name uncultured bacterium. Its description in RNAcentral is "partial 16S ribosomal RNA". It matches the Rfam family "Bacterial small subunit ribosomal RNA", at positions 28 to 526 of the family's 1533-position model. The record is from RNAcentral.